GCCAGGCGUGGUGGUGCAUGCCUGUAAUCCCAGCUCCUAGGGAGGCUGAGGCAGGAGAAUCGCUUGAACCCAGGAGAUGGAGGUUGCAGUGAGUUGGGAUCGCGCCACUGCACUCCAGCCUGGGUGACACAGCGAGACUCUGUCUCCA
Macaca fascicularis (crab-eating macaque) is the source of this 148-nucleotide unclassified non-coding RNA. It matches the Rfam family "Metazoan signal recognition particle RNA". Rfam says of the family: The signal recognition particle (SRP) is a universally conserved ribonucleoprotein. NCBI's taxonomy places the organism in Eukaryota, Metazoa, Chordata, Mammalia, Primates, Cercopithecidae. The record is from Ensembl.